UAAGGAGAUAAAGAAGACCCAAGUGAAGAAAGGUGACAGUGUCAAAAGAAAGAGCUGUUCUAGAAAUGAAGCCCAGGAAUCAAGCCAGUCACAAGAAGGACAAGAACCUUCAAGAAAGAUAUCAAGAAUUCUUGAGAUGACAGACUCGCACACACAAGAUGCAACAAGUCUUGGAAGUAC
Molecule: long non-coding RNA, 180 nt
Organism: Haliotis rufescens (red abalone)
Lineage: Eukaryota; Metazoa; Mollusca; Gastropoda; Lepetellida; Haliotidae
Exons: 3
Source: RefSeq, a predicted model, not a curated record